Molecule: small nucleolar RNA, 108 nt
Organism: Pistacia vera
Lineage: Eukaryota; Viridiplantae; Streptophyta; Magnoliopsida; Sapindales; Anacardiaceae
Source: RefSeq, a predicted model, not a curated record
AACCCAUGAUGUGGACACCUCCUUAGUAAUUCUUUGUAUCUCUCCCAAGCCUCAUACAAUGAUUCCGACUCUUCUUGUAGAAACGAUUGUAAUAUCAUUUUUCAGCUU